AUACUUACCUGGCAGGGGGAAUAUCACGAUCAAGAAGGUGGUUGCCCCAGGGUGAGGCUCUUCCAUUGCACACUUCGGUUGGGUUGACCCCUGUGAUUUCUCCAAAUGUGGGAAACUCAACUGCAGAAUUUAUGCAUCUCAAUAAACACUGGCUUUGC
This is a small nuclear RNA of Protopterus annectens (West African lungfish), 158 nucleotides long. RefSeq annotates it as U1 spliceosomal RNA. NCBI's taxonomy places the organism in Eukaryota, Metazoa, Chordata, Ceratodontiformes, Protopteridae. The transcript has a single exon. The record is from RefSeq and is a predicted model, not a curated record.